AAUUAUGCUUUUUAACAAAUGGUGUUUAUGGCAACCCCUAACAGUGCAAAAGAAAGGAUUAGUUUCAUCCUCUCAUUCCACAUUUUGAUUCCCUGUGGACAGUUAAAUCACACAAAGAUGGUGUUAGAAAAAUCUACCUUCACAGCAAAAGCUGGAAUUAGCGGCCACCAGGCUUUUGGAGCGCAGUCAGGCCCGCGAGCAAAAGGGUAGUCACGCCAGCGGAGACACGUGGAUCAGUCAGGGCUCCCAGCUGCAAAGGACAUAAACCAAUUCUGGCUGAGUAAGCAGAAAAGUUUAAAAGGAGAUGGACAAACUCAAGAGAAUCUCUGGGAGGUUGGAGGGACAGAGAGAGAGAGAGAAGAGAGAGAGAAAGACAGAGAGCGCAC
Molecule: long non-coding RNA, 386 nt
Organism: Mustela erminea (ermine)
Lineage: Eukaryota; Metazoa; Chordata; Mammalia; Carnivora; Mustelidae
Exons: 3
Source: RefSeq, a predicted model, not a curated record